This 350-nucleotide ribosomal RNA is filed under the name uncultured archaeon. Its description in RNAcentral is "bacterial SSU rRNA". It matches the Rfam family "Archaeal small subunit ribosomal RNA", at positions 19 to 373 of the family's 1478-position model. The record is from RNAcentral.
GGACCUGACUGCUAUCGGAUUGAUACUAAGCCAUGCGAGUCAUUGUAGCAAUACAAGGCAUACGGCUCAGUAACGCGUAGUCAACCUAACCUAUGGACGGGAAUAACCUCGGGAAACUGAGAAUAAUGCCCGAUAGAACAUUAUGCCUGGAAUGGUUUAUGUUCCAAAUGAUUUAUCGCCGUAGGAUGGGACUGCGGCCUAUCAGUUUGUUGGUGAGGUAAUGGCCCACCAAGACUAUUACAGGUACGGGCUCUGAGAGGAGUAGCCCGGAGAUGGGUACUGAGACACGGACUCUGUUCCUAUGGGGCGCAGCAGGCGAGAAAACUUUGCAAUGUGCGAACGCACGACAA